GAGCGGCAGCACGGGUACUUGUACCUGGUGGCGAGCGGCGGACGGGUGAGUAAUGCCUAGGAAUCUGCCUGGUAGUGGGGGAUAACGUCCGGAAACGGGCGCUAAUACCGCAUACGUCCUACGGGAGAAAGUGGGGGAUCUUCGGACCUCACGCUAUCAGAUGAGCCUAGGUCGGAUUACCUAGUUGGUGAGGUAAUGGCUCACCAAGGCGACGAUCCGUAACUGGUCUGAGAGGAUGAUCAGUCACACUGGAACUGAGACACGGUCCAGACUCCUACGGGAGGCAGCAGUGGGGAAUAUUGGACAAUGGGCGAAAGCCUGAUCCAGCCAUGCCGCGUGUGUGAAGAAGGUCUUCGGAUUGUAAAGCACUUUAAGUUGGGAGGAAGGGCAGUUACCUAAUACGUAAUUGUUUUGACGUUACCGACAGAAUAAGCACCGGCUAACUCUGUGCCAGCAGCCGCGGUAAUACAGAGGGUGCAAGCGUUAAUCGGAAUUACUGGGCGUAAAGCGCGCGUAGGUGGUUUGUUAAGUUGGAUGUGAAAGCCCCGGGCUCAACCUGGGAACUGCAUCCAAAACUGGCAAGCUAGAGUAUGGUAGAGGGUGGUGGAAUUUCCUGUGUAGCGGUGAAAUGCGUACAUAUAGGAAGGAACACCAGUGGCGAAGGCGACCACCUGGACUGAUACUGACACUGACGUGCGAAAGCGUGGGGAGCAAACAGGAUUAGAUACCCUGGUAGUCCACGCCGUAAACGAUGUCAACUAGCCGUUGGGAACCUUGAGCUCUUAGUGGCGCAGCUAACGCAU
Molecule: ribosomal RNA, 803 nt
Filed under: Pseudomonas sp. EDP3
Lineage: Bacteria; Pseudomonadati; Pseudomonadota; Gammaproteobacteria; Pseudomonadales; Pseudomonadaceae
Description: bacterial SSU rRNA
Rfam family: Bacterial small subunit ribosomal RNA
Source: RNAcentral